AUUUUGAGAUGGAAACAUUUAUAACGCCACCAUGUCGUUUACUUAGCUUAGCUCGUUUACUUACGCUUAACGUUAGUGUAAUUCGAAAAUAACUGGGAGUCAAGACCAUGCCGAAGGGAACGAUUUUAACGGAGAAGGAGCGUGGUAAAAUCGAUGUUUUGAAGGAGGAAGGAUUUUCUCUCCGCGAGAUAGCGCGUAGAAUUGGAAGGAGCAGAGAUGCCGUGACAAACUAUAUCCCGUUGGGUGCUCAGUGCGCCACAAAGAAGCGUCCCGGAGCGUCCUCGCUUAACAGAUAGGGACAAACGACAUAUCAAGCGCCUCGCUGUUUAGUCUAAACUUUCAUCAGCAAAAAUAAAAGCUGAAAUGAAUAUUCCAGAAACCAGUCGUCACAUCCGUCAAGUUCUAAGCUCCGACGAGAACCUUUCGUACAGGAAAUCCGUACCUGUACCGCGACUACUUCCUCGGCAUAAGAAGGCACGACUGAAUUUUGUCGAGAAAUUCCAAUUCUGCCAUGAUGAAAAAGUUUAAUUUGAACGGUCCUGACGGUUCUGCUGACUGUUGGCGAGAUAAACGGAAGAAAAAACCAACAAGAGAAUCUCGCAACUUCGGAGGAGGAACCGUAAUGGUUUGGGCAGGCAUCAGUGACGCUAGGAAAACUCCAAUCUGCUUCAUAUCAACAAGAAUGAAUUCCGAGAAGUACUGCGAAUUGCUGGAGGAGGUUUUGAUUCCUUUUAUGGAAGACGUUAUGGACGAAAAUGCUAUUUUUCAGCAAGAUAACGCUUCAUGUCAUGCAGCAAGUAACACCAAAGACUUUCUAACGGCCCAUAACAAACCUGUUCUUGAUUGGCCACCGUGUAGUCCAGACUUAAAUCCAUUGAGAAUGCUUGGAGAAUUUUGUCAGCAAAUGUAUUUGCACAGGGCAAGAAAUUUGAAACUGCUGAACAGCUGAUAAAAACUAUCAUCAACUAGUGGGCUAAAAUUACUCCAAACACGGUAAAAUCCCUCAUUCAGUCUAUGCCAAGGAGGCUGCAAAAGGUUAUUGUGAAGAAAGGCGAAGCAACACACUACUAAUUACAUUUGUUUCGAUUUUAGACUGGAAAUAAAGUGAGUAAAUACAUA
This is a long non-coding RNA of Toxorhynchites rutilus septentrionalis, 1119 nucleotides long. RefSeq lists it as uncharacterized. NCBI's taxonomy places the organism in Eukaryota, Metazoa, Arthropoda, Insecta, Diptera, Culicidae. The record is from RefSeq and is a predicted model, not a curated record. The transcript has 2 exons.